CAUUAAGACUCUCGGCAACGGAUAUCUCGGCUCUUACAUCGAUGAAGAACGUAGCGAAAUGCGAUACUUGGUGUGAAUUGCAGAAUCCCGUGAAUCAUCGAGUCUUUGAACGCAAGUUGCGCCCGAGGCCUUCGGGUCAAGGGCACGCCUGCCUGGGCGUCACGC
RNAcentral lists this ribosomal RNA (165 nucleotides) under Gagea tenera. RNAcentral describes it as "5.8S ribosomal RNA". It matches the Rfam family "5.8S ribosomal RNA". Rfam says of the family: 5.8S ribosomal RNA (5.8S rRNA) is a component of the large subunit of the eukaryotic ribosome. It is transcribed by RNA polymerase I as part of the 45S precursor that also contains 18S and 28S rRNA. Lineage: Eukaryota; Viridiplantae; Streptophyta; Magnoliopsida; Liliales; Liliaceae. The record is from RNAcentral.